UUUUUUCUUUGUUUUUUGGCUCUCUCAA
This 28-nucleotide non-coding RNA is filed under the name Rattus norvegicus (Norway rat). Lineage: Eukaryota; Metazoa; Chordata; Mammalia; Rodentia; Muridae. The record is from RNAcentral.